RNAcentral lists this ribosomal RNA (253 nucleotides) under uncultured bacterium. RNAcentral describes it as "partial 16S ribosomal RNA". It matches the Rfam family "Bacterial small subunit ribosomal RNA", at positions 524 to 776 of the family's 1533-position model. The record is from RNAcentral.
GACGUAGGGCGCGAGCGUUAUCCGGAUUUACUGGGCGUAAAGGGUGUGCAGGCGGGCCAUUAAGUGGUGUAUGAAAUAUCCCGGCUCAACCGGGAGAGGUUAUGCCAGACUGGUGGUCUAGAGAGCGAGAGAGGGACGUGGAAUUCCAGGUGUAGCGGUGAAAUGCGUAGAUAUCUGGAGGAACACCGGUGGCGAAGGCGGCAUCCUGGACCGACACUGACGCUGAGGCGCGAAAGCUAGGGGAGCAAACGGG